AUCUAAUUAUAUCAUAAUAUUUUCAUAUCAAAUUUAAAAUCAUAUAUUAGUUAUAAAAAUAUCAAGAUGAUAUAAUAAAUUG
Molecule: microRNA precursor, 82 nt
Filed under: Cajanus cajan (pigeon pea)
Lineage: Eukaryota; Viridiplantae; Streptophyta; Magnoliopsida; Fabales; Fabaceae
Description: miRNA gene-KK1_050501
Source: RNAcentral